CACACUUUACAACACCACGACAGUUGAUAACAAGUUAAUUAUACAUAAACAAAAAUGGAAUAACACAUGAAAUAGGCUGAAAUAGGCUAGGGUGUACUACAUUCUGUGAAUUGACUAUAAUUCUCCCCUCCACUGCCCUGUUCAGCGAACAGUCAGCUUAAGUCUGGCUAUGUAUUUAACUGGACCUCCUGGCUAGAUGACUACGGCUUUGGAAAGUGUACUGACCUGAAGAGAUGUAACGUCUUCCCAGAUGGGAAACCCUUCCCUCAGAGCAACGACUGGAGACACAAGGGCUACGUCUACGUAUGGCACUCCAUGGAGGACCUGAGCCCUAGGACCAUGCCUCAGGACUACCACCUGGUCGUGCUGCUAUGGAACCCUGACCUGUUCACCGGACUCUCUCUCUCUCUGCCACACCUGCUGUCUCGACCUCUGAAUGCUCGGCUAUGAAAAGCCAACUGACAUUUACUCUUGAGGUGCUGACCUGUUGCACCCUCUACAACCACUGUGAUUAUUAUUAUUUGACCCUGCAGAUCAUCUAUGAACAUUUGCACAUCUUGACCAUGUUCUGUUAUAAUAUCCACUCGGUACAGCCAAUAGAGGACUGGCCACCCCCUGUAAACUUCAGACUUCAUCUGUAAGUAUACUUAAACCAAAUACUUUUAGACUUUUACUCAAGUAGUAUUUUACUGGGUGACUUUCACUUUUACUUGAGUCAUUUUCUAUGAAGGUAUCUAUACUUUGAUAGUAUGUAUGACAAUUGGGUACUUUUUGACCGCUGGUCAACAUAGACUAGUAGAGUAGGUGUACUUACUUAUAUUUUCCGUAGUAAGUGUAUCUUGGAAUAAAAAUGGUUUUGUUCUUGAGAAAAGACUUUGAACCUUGUACUAGAACUAAUGGUUUCUUAUGAAUCUGUAGCAUUAUCUUCUAUAGUUUAUGUUCCUGGCCACAGUAGUGUGAUGGUAGCCAUUACCCAGGUGGCUCCACUGUCAUUAGGGCCAAGGUCUCCAGAUAAACAUUUGUUUUCUCCCUUCUAUUAUACCAUUGCCUCUGCUCAGUCACCUAGCCUGCCUGAUCUUCUCUGGCACUUUUUUUACUCAGCAUUUUCUUAGCCAAGGUGUGUCACUCACUCUUGGACUGAUUGGAUUAUCCAGCAUGGCAGAAAUGCAAUGCAUAGAGCUGACAAUCCCUGUGGUCUUCUAUGAUCUGCUCUUCUACACCACAUUGAUCUGAACG
Oncorhynchus tshawytscha (Chinook salmon) is the source of this 1236-nucleotide long non-coding RNA. Lineage: Eukaryota; Metazoa; Chordata; Actinopteri; Salmoniformes; Salmonidae. The record is from Ensembl.